This 253-nucleotide ribosomal RNA is filed under the name uncultured bacterium. Its description in RNAcentral is "partial 16S ribosomal RNA". It matches the Rfam family "Bacterial small subunit ribosomal RNA", at positions 524 to 776 of the family's 1533-position model. The record is from RNAcentral.
CACGUAGGGGACGAGCGUUGUCCGGAAUCAUUGGGCGUAAAGCGCGCGUAGGCGGCCCGGAAAGUCGGAUGUGAAAUCCCGGGGCUCAACCCCGGGCCUGCAUCCGAUACUCCCGGGCUGGAGGCAGGUAGGGGAGAUCGGAAUUCCUGGUGUAGCGGUGAAAUGCGCAGAUAUCAGGAAGAACACCCGUGGCUAAGGCGGCUCUCUAGUACGGUACUGACGCUGAGACGCGAAAGCGUGGGGAGCGAACAGG